CAGUAGCCGCGGUAAAACGGAGGGCGCGAGCGUUACCCGGAUUUACUGGGCGUAAAGGGCGUGUAGGCGGCCUGGGGCGUCCCAUGUGAAGGGCCACGGCUCAACCGUGGAGGAGCGUGGGAUACGCUCAGGCUAGAGGGUGGGAGAGGGUGGUGGAAUUCCCGGAGUAGCGGUGAAAUGCGCAGAUACCGGGAGGAACGCCGAUGGCGAAGGCAGCCACCUGGUCCACUUCUGACGCUGAGGCGCGAAAGCGUGGGGAGCAAACCGGAUUAGAUACCCGCGUAGUCCCUGUCUCUUAUAC
RNAcentral lists this ribosomal RNA (301 nucleotides) under uncultured bacterium. RNAcentral's name for it is "partial 16S ribosomal RNA". It matches the Rfam family "Bacterial small subunit ribosomal RNA", at positions 509 to 807 of the family's 1533-position model. The record is from RNAcentral.